AUGGAUCCUGAAAUGAGGGAUCGUGUUAGGAAGAGGGAGGAGGAGGAUGACGAAAUGAUGUUAUUUGUUUUCCCUGCACUACAUUUGAUAGAGACCGAUGGAGUUGCUCUUAGGGAGCGGAGGAUUCCGCGUCAUACAUCAUCGCUAACAGGCGAGAUGUUUGUUAAGGAGUUACUCGAAGGGCACGUCAAAACCGUCGUGUAG
RNAcentral lists this ribosomal RNA (204 nucleotides) under Triticum aestivum (bread wheat). RNAcentral describes it as "partial small subunit ribosomal RNA". Lineage: Eukaryota; Viridiplantae; Streptophyta; Magnoliopsida; Poales; Poaceae. The record is from RNAcentral.